RNAcentral lists this ribosomal RNA (397 nucleotides) under uncultured bacterium. RNAcentral's name for it is "partial 16S ribosomal RNA". It matches the Rfam family "Bacterial small subunit ribosomal RNA", at positions 523 to 918 of the family's 1533-position model. The record is from RNAcentral.
AUACGUAGGGGGCGAGCGUUGUCCGGAAUGAUUGGGCGUAAAGGGCGCGUAGGCGGCCCGGUAAGUCUGGAGUGAAAGUCCUGUUUUUAAGAUGGGAAUUGCUUUGGAUACUGUCGGGCUUGAGUGCAGGAGAGGUAAGUGGAAUUCCCAGUGUAGCGGUGAAAUGCGUAGAGAUUGGGAGGAACACCAGGGGCGAAGGCGACUUACUGGACUGUAACUGACGCUGAGGCGCGAAAGUGUGGGGAGCAAACAGGAUUAGAUACCCUGGUAGUCCACACUGUAAACGAUGAAUGCUAGGUGUAGGGGGUAUCGACCCCUUCUGUGCCGCAGUCAACACAAUAAGCAUUCCGCCUGGGGAGUACGGCCGCAAGGUUGAAACUCAAAGGAAUUGACGGGG